CACAGUGGAUCCAAAUUGAAAAAUGGUGGACAUAGGCAACAAAGUUCCAAUAUCGAUUUGAUAUUUUUUUAUGUGAUUCUACAUGAUAUUCCAAACAACUUUUACUCUUGUGAAAUUUCUUCUAAAGUUGAUCGUUUGUCUGAAAAAAAAUAAAUUAGUUUUUUUUGUAUGGAGCGAAUCACGUUUAUUUUUUUUUCUUCAAUUGUACGAAUAUGUUAGGUCUGUGGCGUGAGUAUAUGAUACCUAGGGUCAUUCUCUAUCCAAGAAAAAAUAUAUCAGCGCCGGCCAUCUGCAGCCGCGCGAGUAAUCAUUCGGUAAAAAAAUAAUAUUUUCUAUGACAUUUUUUGCCUUUUAAGAUCAAUUCAAAGUAUAUUUUCUGUCUCACUUGGCUGUUUUCACCUUAUUUUUGGUUAAAUAUAUAGUUCUAAUGGCACAUAGGUACUCACAACUAGUAAUUCUAGCAGAGGUUUUUGCAUGCAUUGCAUUUUAUCGGUGGCACCUGCAUUGUGAUUGAUGACUCAAAUGUUUGUGCGCUCGUUUAAGCGCAUAACUAAUUAGUCAUCGAAAAAUGCUCGUCUCUGAUUUGCUGUAUUUUUUUUUACUACCUGCUAGUCAUGUUAAUAUGUUCACUACUUGAGUAAUUAACACUGACUAUAAAUACAAAGACAUUUAUUAUGUCCCUCUAGUUUCGCGCUUGUCGCUUAUUUGUGAACACGGUGAAAUACUUUUAUUUGAAUAUUUACGUUAGAACUAUGGCUGGAUUUUGUACCAACCUAGAUCUUUUUGUGAAAUUAAGAAGUGGUGGUGAUCUGAAAAAUUAUAUGUUUCUAUAUAAAAGUAUAAUUUCUGUUUUGAAUACCACAGUUUCUGAAGAAGACAAAAACCUAAUCAGGGAGUUCUGUCGGCUUUUUUGUGUAAGUCUAAAUAAAAAGUGGAUAGAGUCGAGUAGAAGUCAAAAAACUUUUAUGAAUCGUAUAAAUAAUCGCAAUUGGUUGGAAAAAAAUAUCAACUGGCCUGUUUGUGGCAGUGUUGACCUGAAAAGUGAGGGGCUUUUCGGACGCAGACUUAUCUGAGCCAGUGGAUGUGAAUUGUCCUAACCUUGCGGUAUGUACUACGGAAGCGGGAACAUCUACAGAAAAGGAGCACAGAAAACCGUUCGAAGACUUAAGUAAUAAGCAGAAAAAAGACGUUCUACUUCCAUAGUAGAAGAAAAUUCAGAGGAAGAGUUGCAGGACUGGUACUUAACAAAAUUGAAAGACAACGGCAAAACGAAUCUGGCAAAAGUAGUCGAAUACCUUUCCAGUAAUCCAGAAACGCUAUCCCAAGUACACGAGCGACUAUUCAAAAAGCAGAGCCUAAGUACCGUCUCUGAAGAUAAUUGCUUAGCUCUUUAUACCUCACUUGCGCUCUCGAGAUGGAAGUACUUACUUAAGACUUCAGAAACGUCAGAGAGAGACAAACUCGGAAAACGGACAGAACAGCAACAAACGAAGACAUCCUCCCAUGGACUUCUAAUAAGCUCUGAUCCCCACAUAUCCUACAUAAGGCCUAAAAUAACGAAACAGGUUCAUGCUGAGUGGUUCCCUGAAGCAAUUCAGUUGUUACAGACUACCGAGCCUCCCUGUGAUAGCGAGAUUAUGGAGGAAGAAGAAUGCCUCAUAGCAGAGUCCGAAAAUUUGCCGGACCCACUUCUGGAAUAAGAAAUAAAGUGAUCCGGCUCUGGACUGUUCCCACAAAAGCCCAUCAGGGCUGGUAUGACAAACAGCCCCUUUCAGGGCUACAAUGAUUUCACAAUGUUCUUUCGAUCAUACGUAGCAGGUAGUAAAAAAAAAUACAGCCAAUCAGAGACGAGCAUUUUUCGAUGACUAAUUAGUUAUGCGCUUAGACGAGCGCACAAACAAAUGAGUCAUCAAUCACAAUGCAGGUGCCACCGAUAACAUGCAAUAAUAACAAAACCUCUGCUAGAAUUACUAGUUGUGAGUACCUAUGAGCCAUUAAAACUAUAUAUUUAGCCAAAAAUAAGGUGAAAACAGCCAAGUGAGACAGAAAAUAUACUUUGAAUUGAUCUUAAAAGGCAAAAAAUGUCAUAGAAAAUAUUAUUUUUUUACCGAAUGAUUACUCGCGCGGCUGCAGAUGGCCGGCGCUGAUAUA
This is a long non-coding RNA of Helicoverpa armigera (cotton bollworm), 2151 nucleotides long. RefSeq lists it as uncharacterized. The record is from RefSeq and is a predicted model, not a curated record. Lineage: Eukaryota; Metazoa; Arthropoda; Insecta; Lepidoptera; Noctuidae. The transcript is spliced from 2 exons.